UGAUUACCUACACCUAUAAUAGCGAGCCU
RNAcentral lists this small RNA (29 nucleotides) under Bombyx mori (domestic silkworm). Its description in RNAcentral is "ovarian small RNA-32990". The record is from RNAcentral. Lineage: Eukaryota; Metazoa; Arthropoda; Insecta; Lepidoptera; Bombycidae.